GUGCCAGCAGCCGCGGUAAUACGAAGGGGGCUAGCGUUGUUCGGAAUUACUGGGCGUAAAGCGCACGUAGGCGGAUAUUUAAGUCAGGGGUGAAAUCCCGCAGCUCAACUGCGGAACUGCCUUUGAUACUGGGUAUCUUGAGUAUGGAAGAGGUAAGUGGAAUUCCGAGUGUAGAGGUGAAAUUCGUNGAUAUUUCGGAGGAAACACCAGGUGGCGGAGGGCGGCUUACUUGGUCCAAUUACUGACGCUGAGGGUGCGAAAGGCGUGGGGAGCAAAACAGAAAUUAGAUACCCCUGGUAGUCC
RNAcentral lists this ribosomal RNA (303 nucleotides) under uncultured microorganism. Its description in RNAcentral is "bacterial SSU rRNA". It matches the Rfam family "Bacterial small subunit ribosomal RNA", at positions 505 to 796 of the family's 1533-position model. The record is from RNAcentral.